This 754-nucleotide ribosomal RNA is filed under the name uncultured bacterium. RNAcentral describes it as "bacterial SSU rRNA". It matches the Rfam family "Bacterial small subunit ribosomal RNA", at positions 28 to 790 of the family's 1533-position model. The record is from RNAcentral.
GAUUAACGCUGGCGGCAUGCCUAACACAUGCAAGUCGAACGGAGUUUAAGUGUAGCUUGCUAUAUUUAAACUUAGUGGCGAACGGGUGAGUAACGCGUGAGUAAUCUGCCCUAUACUACGGGAUAACACAAAGAAAUUUGUGCUAAUACGGUAUGAAACAUAAGAACGCAUGUUCUAAUGUUAAAAGAUUUAUCGGUAUAGGAUGAGCUCGCGUCCCAUUAGCUAGUUGGUGAGAUAAAAGCCCACCAAGGCCACGAUGGGUAGCCGGUCUGAGAGGAUGAACGGCCACAUUGGGACUGAGACAUGGCCCAGACUCCUACGGGAGGCAGCAGUGGGGAAUAUUGGGCAAUGGAGGCAACUCUGACCCAGCAAUGCCGCGUGAACGAUGAAGGUCUUUUGAUUGUAAAGUUCUUUAGUUUGGAAGGAAAAAAAUGACUUACAAAAGAAUAAGCCCCGGCUAACUACGUGCCAGCAGCCGCGGUAAUACGUAGGGGGCAAGCGUUAUCCGGAAUGACUGGGUGUAAAGGGUGUGUAGGUGGUUUAGUAAGUUGGAAGUGAAAUACCUAGGGCUUAACUCAGGUGCUGCUUUCAAAACUGCUAGACUUGAGUGUAGGAGAGGAAAGUGGAAAUUCCUAGUGUAGCGGUGGAAUGCGUAGAUAUUAGGAGGAACAUCAGUGGCGAAGGCGACUUUCUGGAAUAUAACUGACACUAAAACACGAAAGCGUGGGGAGCAACCAGGAUUAGAUACCCCUGG